GACGAACGCUGGCGGCGUGCCUAAUACAUGCAAGUAGAACGCACAGUUUAUACCGUAGCUUGCUACACCAUAGACUGUGAGUUGCGAACGGGUGAGUAACGCGUAGGUAACCUGCCUGGUAGCGGGGGAUAACUAUUGGAAACGAUAGCUAAUACCGCAUAAUAUUAAUUAUUGCAUGAUAAUUAAUUGAAAGGUGCAAUUGCACCACUACCAGAUGGACCUGCGUUGUAUUAGCUAGUAGGUGAGGUAACGGCUCACCUAGGCGACGAUACAUAGCCGACCUGAGAGGGUGAUCGGCCACACUGGGACUGAGACACGGCCCAGACUCCUACGGGAGGCAGCAGUAGGGAAUCUUCGGCAAUAGACGAAAGUCUGACCGAGCAAUGCCGCGUGAGUGAAGAAGGUUUUCGGAUCGUAAAGCUCUGUUAUAAGAGAAGAACGGGUGUGAGAGUGGAAAGUUCACACUGUGACGGUAUCUUACCAGAAAGGGACGGCUAACUACGUG
This 505-nucleotide ribosomal RNA is filed under the name uncultured bacterium. RNAcentral's name for it is "partial 16S ribosomal RNA". It matches the Rfam family "Bacterial small subunit ribosomal RNA", at positions 28 to 507 of the family's 1533-position model. The record is from RNAcentral.